Molecule: ribosomal RNA, 450 nt
Filed under: uncultured Glomus
Lineage: Eukaryota; Fungi; Glomeromycota; Glomeromycetes; Glomerales; Glomeraceae
Description: SSU rRNA
Rfam family: Eukaryotic small subunit ribosomal RNA
Source: RNAcentral
AGCAGCCGCGGUAAUUCCAGCUCCAAUAGCGUAUAUUAAAGUUGUUGCAGUUAAAAAGCUCGUAGUUGAAUUUCGGGAUUAGUACGCUGGUCGUGCCUUCGGUACGUACUGGUGUUACUGAUUCCUACCUUCUGACGAACCGUCAUGUCAUUAAUUUGAUGUGGCGGGGAAUCAGGACUGUUACUUUGAAAAAUUAGAGUGUUUAAAGCAGGCUCGCGCUUGAAUACAUUAGCAUGGAAUAAUGAAAUAGGACGUUCGAUCCUAUUUUGUUGGUUUCUAGGAUUGACGUAAUGAUUAAUAGGGAUAGUUGGGGGCAUUAGUAUUCAAUUGUCAGAGGUGAAAUUCUUGGAUUUAUUGAAGACUAACUACUGCGAAAGCAUUUGCCAAGGAUGUUUUCAUUAAUCAAGACGAAAGUUAGGGGAUCGAAGACGAUCAGAUACCGUCGUAGUC